CCAGUAACUUACUACGUGCACACACACUAAUUGACACCACCUACCAGCACCUAUGCAAGCAGGCACCCACAAAUCCACAAUCACAAGUGCACGUCCUACCACGCACAGGGCCUAUACUAGAGUAAAUCAAUCGCUGAAUCAUUUAAAGUUGUACUGUAAAUCAGAGCACAAGAUUCGGGUGUCAUAUCCCGUGUACCUUUAGUUUUUGCCGAGAGCAAAAAAAAAAAAUUGCUGGACUAAAAAGAAUUUGCC
This 252-nucleotide long non-coding RNA is filed under the name Sorghum bicolor (sorghum). RNAcentral's name for it is "long non-coding RNA (SBIC_LNC001942)". The record is from RNAcentral. Lineage: Eukaryota; Viridiplantae; Streptophyta; Magnoliopsida; Poales; Poaceae.